GACGAACGCUGGCGGCGUGCUUAACACAUGCAAGUCGAACGAAGAGCGAUGGAAGCUUGCUUCUAUCAAUCUUAGUGGCGAACGGGUGAGUAACGCGUAAUCAACCUGCCCUUCAGAGGGGGACAACAGUUGGAAACGACUGCUAAUGCCGCAUACGAUCUGACCUCGGCAUCGAGGAUAGAUGAAAGGUGGCCUCUAUUUAUAAGCUAUCACUGAAGGAGGGGAUUGCGUCUGAUUAGCUAGUUGGAGGGGUAACGGCCCACCAAGGCGAUGAUCAGUAGCCGGUCUGAGAGGAUGAACGGCCACAUUGGGACUGAGACACGGCCCAGACUCCUACGGGAGGCAGCAGUGGGGAAUCUUCCGCAAUGGACGAAAGUCUGACGGAGCAACGCCGCGUGAGUGAUGACGGCCUUCGGGUUGUAAAGCUCUGUUAAUCGGGUCGAAAGGCCUUCUUGCGAAUAGUUAGAAGGAUUGACGGUACCGGAAUAGAAAGCCACGGCUAACUACGUG
Molecule: ribosomal RNA, 510 nt
Filed under: uncultured bacterium
Lineage: Bacteria
Description: partial 16S ribosomal RNA
Rfam family: Bacterial small subunit ribosomal RNA
Source: RNAcentral